GACGAACGCUGGCGGCGUGCUUAACACAUGCAAGUCGAGCGGUAAGGCCCUUUCGGGGGUACACGAGCGGCGAACGGGUGAGUAACACGUGGGUGACCUGCCCUCAGCUCUGGGAUAAGCCUGGGAAACCGGGUCUAAUACCGGAUAUGACUCCAUGACGCAUGUUGUGAGGUGGAAAGCCUUGCGCGGCUGAGGAUGGGCCCGCGGCCUAUCAGCUUGUUGGUGGGGUGAUGGCCUACCAAGGCGACGACGGGUAGCCGGCCUGAGAGGGCGA
This 274-nucleotide ribosomal RNA is filed under the name uncultured bacterium. RNAcentral describes it as "partial 16S ribosomal RNA". It matches the Rfam family "Bacterial small subunit ribosomal RNA", at positions 28 to 303 of the family's 1533-position model. The record is from RNAcentral.